CCAGCUCCAAUAGCGUAUACUUAAGUUGUUGCAGUUAAAAAGCUCGUAGUUGAAAUUCGAAUUAGCUGAUAGAGGGCUUAGGCUAUCUAGCAGUUGGUUCUCCGUCUACAAUCCCUCUUGGGCUUCAGGGUUGCAGAGGGCUGAGUAGACAAUUUACCUUGAAAAAAUUAGAGUGUUCCAGGCAGGUUUUCGCCGGAAUACAUUAGCAUGGAAUAAUGGAAUAGGACUUAGGUCUUUUGUUGGUUUUAGGACUUGAGUAAUGAUUAAUAGGGACAGAUGGGGGCAUUAGUAUUUAAUUGUCAGAGGUGAAAUUCUUGGAUUUAUUAAAGACUAACUUAUGCGAAAGCAUUUGCCAAGGAUGUUUUCA
This 367-nucleotide ribosomal RNA is filed under the name uncultured Paramecium. RNAcentral describes it as "SSU rRNA". It matches the Rfam family "Eukaryotic small subunit ribosomal RNA", at positions 585 to 972 of the family's 1831-position model. Lineage: Eukaryota; Ciliophora; Oligohymenophorea; Peniculida. The record is from RNAcentral.